AGGGUUGAUCCUGGCUCAGGAUGAACGCUAGCGGCAGGCUUAACACAUGCAAGUCGAGGGGUAACAGGAGAGCUUGCUCUCGCUGACGACCGGCGCACGGGUGAGUAACGCGUAUGCAACCUACCCAUAACUGGGGGAUAGCUUCCGGAAACGGAAAUUAAUACCCCAUAGUAUUAUAAUACCCCGCAUGGUAUAAUAAUUAAAGUUCCGACGGUUAUGGAUGGGCAUGCGUGCCAUUAGCUUGUUGGUGAGGUAACAGCUCACCAAGGCUAUGAUGGCUAGGGGGUCUUAAAGGAUGGUCCCCCACACUGGUACUGAGACACGGACCAGACUCCUACGGGAGGCAGCAGUGAGGAAUAUUGGUCAAUGGGCGCAAGCCUGAACCAGCCAUGCCGCGUGCAGGAAGACGGCCCUAUGGGUUGUAAACUGCUUUUAUAUAGGAAGAAAAUGUUCUACGUGUAGAGCACUGACGGUACUAUAAGAAUAAGCAUCGGCUAACUCCGUGCCAGCAGCCGCGGUAAUACGGAGGAUGCAAGCGUUAUCCGGAUUUAUUAGGUUUAAAGGGUGUGUAGGCGGAACUUUAAGUCAGUGGUGAAAUCUUUCGGCUCAACCGGAAAACUGCCAUUGAUACUGGAAUUCUUGAGUAUAGUUGAGGUAGGCGGAAUGUGUAAUGUAGCGGUGAAAUGCUUAGAUAUUACACAGAACACCGAUUGCGAAGGCAGCUUACUAAGCUAUUACUGACGCUGAUGCACGAAGCGUGGGGAGCGAACAGGAUUAGAUACCCUGGUAGUCCACGCCGUAAACGAUGAUUACUCGUUGUUGGCGAUAUAUGCAGUUGGAGACUAAGCGAAAGUGAUAAGUAAUCCACCUGGGGAGUACGAUCGCAAGGUUGAAACUCAAAGGAAUUGACGGGGGCCCGCACAAGCGGUGGAGCAUGUGGUUUAAUUCGAUGAUACGCGAGGAACCUUACCAGGGCUUAAAUGCAGAACGCAUACUGUGGAAACAUGGUAGUCUUCGGACGGUCUGCAAGGUGCUGCAUGGCUGUCGUCAGCUCGUGCCGUGAGGUGUUGGGUUAAGUCCCGCAACGAGCGCAACCCCUAUCUUUAGUUGCUAGUGAGUAAUGUCGGGGACUCUAAAGAAACUGCCUACGCAAGUAGAGAGGAAGGCGGGGACGACGUCAAGUCAUCACGGCUCCUACGUCCUGUGCCACACACGUGCUACAAUGGUAGAUACAGAGGGCAGCUACUCCGCGAGGAGAUGCGAAUCUCAAAAGCCGGUCUCAGUUCGGAUUGGAGUCUGCAACUCGACUCCAUGAAGCUGGAAUCGCUAGUAAUCGCGCAUCAGCCAUGGCGCGGUGAAUACGUUCCCGGGCCUUGUACACACCGCCCGUCAAGCCAUGGAAGCUGGGGGUGCCUGAAGUCGGUGACCGCAAGGAGCUGCCUAGGGUAAAACUAGUAACUGGGGCUAAGUCGGAACAAGGUAGCC
Molecule: ribosomal RNA, 1485 nt
Filed under: uncultured prokaryote
Description: partial 16S ribosomal RNA
Rfam family: Bacterial small subunit ribosomal RNA
Source: RNAcentral